UACGGCCGCAUCAUCUUGAAACACCGGUCCCCGUACGAUCACCAAAGUUAAGCAACGUCGAGCUUGGUCAGUACCUACAUGUGUGACCAGUCGGGAAUACCUGCUACUGUAAG
Acanthosepion pharaonis is the source of this 113-nucleotide non-coding RNA. NCBI's taxonomy places the organism in Eukaryota, Metazoa, Mollusca, Cephalopoda, Sepiida, Sepiidae. The record is from the annotation of a GenBank genome assembly.